UGGGGAAUAUUGGACAAUGGGCGAAAGCCUGAUCCAGCCAUGCCGCGUGUGUGAAGAAGGCCUUUUGGUUGUAAAGCACUUUAAGCGAGGAGGAGGCUACUUGGAUUAAUACUCUAGGAUAGUGGACGUUACUCGCAGAAUAAGCACCGGCUAACUCUGUGCCAGCAGCCGCGGUAAUACAGAGGGUGCGAGCGUUAAUCGGAUUUACUGGGCGUAAAGCGUGCGUAGGCGGCUUCUUAAGUCGGAUGUGAAAUCCCUGAGCUUAACUUAGGAAUUGCAAUCGAAACUGGGAAGCUAGAGGAUGGGAGAGGAUGGUAGAAUUCCAGGUGUAGCGGUGAAAUGCGUAGAGAUCUGGAGGAAUACCGAUGGCGAAGGCAGCCAUCUGGCCUAAUACUGACGCUGAGGUACGAAAGCAUGGGGAGCAAACAGG
Molecule: ribosomal RNA, 430 nt
Filed under: Acidobacteriota bacterium
Lineage: Bacteria; Pseudomonadati; Acidobacteriota
Description: Acidobacteria bacterium partial 16S ribosomal RNA
Rfam family: Bacterial small subunit ribosomal RNA
Source: RNAcentral